Molecule: ribosomal RNA, 751 nt
Filed under: uncultured bacterium
Lineage: Bacteria
Description: bacterial SSU rRNA
Rfam family: Bacterial small subunit ribosomal RNA
Source: RNAcentral
ACGCUGGCGGCAGGCCUAACACAUGCGUGUCGAGCGGUAGCACAGGAGAGCUUGCUCUCUGGGUGACGAGCGGCGGACGGGUGAGUAAUGUCUGGGAAACUGCCUGAUGGAGGGGGAUAACUACUGGAAACGGUAGCUAAUACCGCAUGACCUCGCAAGAGCAAAGUGGGGGACCUUCGGGCCUCACGCCAUCGGAUGUGCCCAGAUGGGAUUAGCUAGUAGGUGGGGUAAUGGCUCACCUAGGCGACGAUCCCUAGCUGGUCUGAGAGGAUGACCAGCCACACUGGAACUGAGACACGGUCCAGACUCCUACGGGAGGCAGCAGUGGGGAAUAUUGCACAAUGGGCGCAAGCCUGAUGCAGCCGUGCCGCGUGUGUGAAGAAGGCCUUAGGGUUGUAAAGCACUUUCAGCGAGGAGGAAGGCGUUGCAGUUAAUAGCUGCAGCGAUUGACGUUACUCGCAGAAGAAGCACCGGCUAACUCCGUGCCAGCAGCCGCGGUAAUACGGAGGGUGCAAGCGUUAAUCGGAAUUACUGGGCGUAAAGCGCACGCAGGCGGUUUGUUAAGUCAGAUGUGAAAUCCCCGAGCUUAACUUGGGAACUGCAUUUGAAACUGGCAAGCUAGAGUCUUGUAGAGGGGGGUAGAAUUCCAGGUGUAGCGGUGAAAUGCGUAGAGAUCUGGAGGAAUACCGGUGGCGAAGGCGGCCCCCUGGACAAAGACUGACGCUCAGGUGCGAAAGCGUGGGGAGCAAAC